Molecule: ribosomal RNA, 253 nt
Filed under: uncultured bacterium
Lineage: Bacteria
Description: partial 16S ribosomal RNA
Rfam family: Bacterial small subunit ribosomal RNA
Source: RNAcentral
UACGUAGGGUGCAAGCGUUGUCCGGAAUUAUUGGGCGUAAAGAGCUCGUAGGCGGCUAGUCGCGUCGGCUGUGAAAACCUGGGGCUCAACCCCGGGCCUGCAGACGAUACGGGCUAGCUAGAAUUCGGUAGGGGAGACUGGAAUUCCUGGUGUAGCGGUGAAAUGCGCAGAUAUCAGGAGGAACACCGGUGGCGAAGGCGGUUCUCUGGGCCUGUUCUGACGCUGAGGAGCGAAAGCGUGGGGAGCGAACAGG